CAGUUAAAUGCUGUAAUAUUAGUCAUUUUUCGUAGAUUGUUGCUGUCGGACCUUGUAUCUAACUAUACCACUACUUUUCAGGAAAUCAGAGUUCCCAAACACAGCUUUGUUAAAGUUGAUAUACCUUAUAUACUGCUGCCAUAUACCGUUGCACACUCACAUCAACACAGCAUCACCCAAAAAUUAUGUUCGAUCGCUAAUUAAAUAUGUUAAAAAAAAGUUACUACGCAGUCAUUGAUUAAAAUAUUAGAAUGUCGCCAGGCACCAGAACCUCCUCAUCACAAUCUGUGCUCACGCCAAGCCCCAACCAUACAAAAAAAAAAAAAACUUCAAACUUCACAUACAUUUUGAGCACUCAAGAGCAUCAAUAGAUUUGUUCUAAAGCUAUUUUCACCACUUUAAAUUGGCUAAUAUUUUGAAGGAAAAAAAACAAAGUGGGGACAGACCAACUGUAUCGAUUUGUGAUUUUUUUUUAAAGUGACCUUUAAACAGCUUGAUGCCCCUUUUUUAAUGAAUUGUACAAUGUUUCCCAAACUGCUGCUUAUUGUGAAGUGUGUAGAAUAGAGUACACUGCCACCAUACAGCACUCGUGUCUCCAGUUUGCGCUUGCAAAUCAAAACCAAAAAAAAAUGGUAAAUCGGGUCUUCUAUCUCAAGGAACCACUGUAUUGAAUUGAAUUUCAUGUUCUGCCUACAUUCAUCACUUCUUUCUCUAAGCUGUAGUGGGGCUCUAGGUUGAUUAUAAAGGUGGGUUUCAGUAUCAUGUAAGAGUUGGCUUUCAGCAGCGUGCGCGUGUCUUUGUGUACAUGUGUGUGUGUUCUUACACAAGCCUUUUCCUCAUGACAGUUGAGCUCUCGGAGGACGUGCUCAGCAUGGGCAGGAUUUACGCUGACCUCUGAGAAACCACGUAACCGUUCUGACGUUGCAUCAAGUUGGGAGCGUACCUGUGAGCACAACAACAACAAAGCAUGGUUUUAGAGAAAAUGUUCUUGCCAAGCCUGGGCGUGAAUUUCCUCAACUAACUUCACGGAAGUGUUGCUCAAAAUGGCGAAGCUGCAAACACUGCUCCAGUUUGGAGCGGUGGCGUUCCCAGAAAUCGUCAAAUGCUGUCUCGGUCUCGUCCAGCUGACCCAGAAGUCUGAGGAGAAUGAGAGUGCAGCAGACUGGUAGUGGCCUCAGCAUCGUUGGGCAAUUCUGUCUCUGCAAGCUCUGUGCCAAAGGCCUGCAGAGUGUGAGCAGUCGUCUUCACCAUGAGAGCAAACGCUUCAAUUGCCUGCAUUGGAAAAGACUGUCUCACUUCAUGGGAAAAGUGGCCACAAACCUGUUUUGCUCCAAGGUAGGUGUCUAACCUAAAACGGACUUCACUACAAUUUACUGCAUGUUAUGAAUGAUUAGAAAUAAUUAUUAGACAACUAAGUCACAUUCAGCACCUAAUGUAGCGUGGCUAGUAAUGUCGCUUCUUAGUAUACUGUUACGUUCGCUUUCCAUAUAGUUAAGCUGUAACCUAUAAUCACUCAUGUAAUGCAGUAGUUCAUGGUCGUAUGGCUGUUAGCUUAGUGUUUAAAUAGCCAUCCAUCCAUUUUCUACACCACUUAUCCUCACCUAGCGUUGUGGGUAUGCUGGAGCCUAUCCCAGCAAACUGCGGGCGAGAGGUUGCCAGCCAAUUGCAGGGUACAUACUGUAUAAAGAACCAUUCACACUCAUAUUCACACCUACGGGCAAAUUUAGAGUCUUCAAUUAACCUACCAUACAUUUUUGGGGGAUGUGGGAGGAAACCGGAGUACCUGGAGAAAACGGGGAGACGGUGAGGAGAACAUGCAAACUCCACACGGGAGGCCGGAUUUGAACAAAGGUCCUCAGAAAUGUGAGGCAGGUGUGCUAACCAGUCCAUUGUGUCGCCAGUCGAAACUAUUGAAAUUUACAGAUCUUGUUGAACUACAGACAGUACAAAUAAUAUUUAAAGCUAAAAAACCAAAACUUUGCCUGGAAAUAUAUAUAUUUUUUUAAAAUCACUGAAAGGGAAGGAAGUUACAAUUUAAGAAGAGACCUCAGACCGGGUCCUCAGAACUGUGAGGCUGAUGUGCUAACCAGUCAUCCGCCGUGUUUAAAUAUCCUCAUCCAAAAUCUGGUGCAUUUAUAACGUUGACCAGUCCUUGUGUGUUUACUAAACCUGAUUUUGGGUGUUUAAAUAAUCCAAAAUCAGGUGUAUUAAACACACGAGGCCUGGUCAACCUUAUACGUAAAUAACCAGACGCCUUUUCCUCCACAGGGACACGACAAGAGAACCGUGUUCUACAAUAGCACACAAAACUCCAGAAAUACAAGCCCAGUGCCAAAAUGACAACCGUCACAAAAUGCAAUUAUAAAGUUCCUUUGAGAGGAGCAUGAACAAAAACGACAUGAGACUGAAGCAAAACAUGUUUUUACAGCUUUCCAGUUAAAAUGUAGCUACUGUAUUUAAAUUUGUUGUUCUUAACGUUAUAUUGUUAUUUCUAUUUCAUAUGUACUGUAUGUAUGUUCAUUUGUUUGAUGCAUUCCCUAUUUAUAUAUUAUAUUUUCCAAAUAAAAAUAUAUGCAAGGCCUAAAAAUAAAUAAACUAUUAUUACCAUUAUAUCAUUAUAUGGAAAUUCUCCCAAAUGCCAAUAACUGUAUGUUCUGUAAAUAAGUGUCUAAAUAAGUCUUUUUGAUAAUUGCAUCCUUCUGUUUUGCCUCAGCGCUGCAAAAUAUGAGAUUCAUAACUGAUAAUUUUUUUCCUGGGACAGUGACAAUAAAGUGCUUUUCUAUUCUGUUUGA
Phyllopteryx taeniolatus (common seadragon) is the source of this 2792-nucleotide long non-coding RNA. RefSeq lists it as uncharacterized. The record is from RefSeq and is a predicted model, not a curated record. The transcript is spliced from 3 exons. Lineage: Eukaryota; Metazoa; Chordata; Actinopteri; Syngnathiformes; Syngnathidae.